CUAAGAAUAUUCCGCAAUGGACGAAAGUCUGAUCUAGCAACACCGCGUGUGCGAUGAAGGCCUUCGGGUCGUAAAGCACUUUUUGGAAGGAAUAGGAAGGAAUGUACUUCCAGAAUAAGUCUCGGCUAACUACGUGCCAGCAGCCGCGGUAACACGUAGGAGGCAAACGUUAUCCGGAUUUACUGGGCGUAAAGCGCGUGUAGGUGGUACUGUAAGUAGGGCGUGAAAGCUCCUGGCUCAACUGGGAGAGGCCGUUCUAAACUACAGAACUAGAGGAUGGUAGAGGGAGGUGGAAUUCCAGGUGUAGCGGUGGAAUGCGCAGAUAUCUGGAGGAACACCGGUGGCGAAGGCGGCCUCCUGGACCAUUCCUGACACUCAGACGCGAAAGCUAGGGUAGCAAACGGG
This 405-nucleotide ribosomal RNA is filed under the name uncultured prokaryote. Its description in RNAcentral is "bacterial SSU rRNA". It matches the Rfam family "Bacterial small subunit ribosomal RNA", at positions 355 to 776 of the family's 1533-position model. RNAcentral also lists the same sequence under 1 other name. The record is from RNAcentral.